Vespa crabro (European hornet) is the source of this 1033-nucleotide long non-coding RNA. RefSeq lists it as uncharacterized. The transcript has 2 exons. Lineage: Eukaryota; Metazoa; Arthropoda; Insecta; Hymenoptera; Vespidae. The record is from RefSeq and is a predicted model, not a curated record.
CUCUCUGUAGGUCAGACCUACAUACGUCAUACUUCUAAAAUGUCAUGUUUAUCUCUUAAUCCACCAAGUACGUAUCUUAUGGAUCGCUUGUAUUACCUCUCUCAGAUUUUAAUUUGAUAUUAUUAUUAAAAUUAUCUUAUUCGUUAAAUAACGUGAACAAUUUAAUAUUUGACACUUAAGUCUCAUGGAUUACAUCAGGGUAGAAAAGGGUUAAAUUAUAAUACGUCCAUAUUAUAUAUCAUUAAAAAUGGACAUAGCAAUAUACUAUCAACUGUAGUAAUAAGAAGUACCAAACAUUUUCCAUACAUAUAUCUAACUAUCUAAAUAUUUAUAAAUUUUUUCACAGUGUAAUAUUAUAAUAACUUAAAAUCAGUUUCUUCGGAAAUAUAUUAUUUUACUUCAUUGAAUCUUAUAGAUUUUCUAUUUAAUUGUAUUCUUUGAGGAAUAAGUUAUUAAAUUGUUAUAUUUAUGUAAUAACAAAAUUAACUAAUAAUAAAAAUAAUAAUAAUGAUAAUAUAUAUUAAUAUUUUUCAAAUACUCCUAAUGACAUUGCAUCAACUAUUUUUUUUUUCUUUUUUUUUUUUUUCUUUUUUUUUUAUCAUCAAAAUAAGAUAAUUAUACAAAACUAUUUAAUACAAUCAAUAUUUUUCGUCUUUAUCAUUACUACAGUCUUGUAUAAAGCUUGUAUAAAAUCUUUUUAUUAGAUUGCUGUAUAAUUUCUAUUUUGUUUUUCCUUUUUCUUUUUUCUUUUUUCUUUUUUUUUUUUUUUUUUUUUUUUUGGAUAAAAUUUAUAUGACUUUAAAAGUGAAAGUAUGUAUGUUUAAUUAAUGACAAUAGGACAAAGAAAUUAUGCAACGACCUAAUAGAAAGAAGAGAAGCACUUAAUGGUUAAUUAUUGUUGAAUUCAAAUAAAAUUUACAACUUUGCUUUAUUCAAGCAGUCUAAGAAUUAUUGUUUGCAGUCUUCUUUUUAAUAAUCAACGAUCCUGAUAUUUUGUUUAAACGUAUAAGCACUCAAAAAAAAAAAAAAGAAA